GACGAACGCUGGCGGCGUGCUUAACACAUGCAAGUCGAACGGAAAGGCCCUGCUUUUGUGGGGUGCUCGAGUGGCGAACGGGUGAGUAACACGUGAGUAACCUGCCCUUGACUUUGGGAUAACUUCAGGAAACUGGGGCUAAUACCGGAUAGGAGCUCCUACUGCAUGGUGGGGGUUGGAAAGUUUCGGCGGUUGGGGAUGGACUCGCGGCUUAUCAGCUUGUUGGUGGGGUAGUGGCUUACCAAGGCUUUGACGGGUAGCCGGCCUGAGAGGGUGACCGGCCACAUUGGGACUGAGAUACGGCCCAGACUCCUACGGGAGGCAGCAGUGGGGAAUAUUGCACAAUGGGCGGAAGCCUGAUGCAGCAACGCCGCGUGCGGGAUGACGGCCUUCGGGUUGUAAACCGCUUUCGCCUGUGACGAAGCGUGAGUGACGGUAAUGGGUAAAGAAGCACCGGCUAACUACGUGCCAGCAGCCGCGGUGAUACGUAGGGUGCGAGCGUUGUCCGGAUUUAUUGGGCGUAAAGGGCUCGUAGGUGGUUGAUCGCGUCGGAAGUGUAAUCUUGGGGCUUAACCCUGAGCGUGCUUUCGAUACGGGUUGACUUGAGGAAGGUAGGGGAGAAUGGAAUUCCUGGUGGAGCGGUGGAAUGCGCAGAUAUCAGGAGGAACACCAGUGGCGAAGGCGGUUCUCUGGGCCUUUCCUGACGCUGAGGAGCGAAAGCGUGGGGAGCGAACAGGCUUAGAUACCCUGGUAGUCCACGCUGUAAACGGUGGGUACUAGGUGUGGGAUCCAUUCCACGGGUUCCGUGCCGUAGCUAACGCUUUAAGUACCCCGCCUGGGGAGUACGGCCGCAAGGCUAAAACUCAAAGGAAUUGACGGGGCCCCGCACAAGCGGCGGAGCAUGCGGAUUAAUUCGAUGCAACGCGUAGAACCUUACCUGGGUUUGACGUGGAUCGGGAGUGCUCAGAGAUGGGUGUGCCUCUUUUGGGGUCGGUUCACAGGUGGUGCAUGCCUGUCGUCAGCUCGUGUCGUGAGAUGUUGGGUUAAGUCCCGCAACGAGCGCAACCCUUGUUCACUGUUGCCAGCACGUUAUGGUGGGGACUCAGUGGAGACCGCCAGGGUCAACUCGGAAGAAGGUGGGGAUGACGUCAAGUCAUCAUGCCCCUUAUGUCCAGGGCUUCACGCAUGCUACAAUGGCUGGUACAGAGAGUGGCGAGCCUGUGAGGGUGAGCGAAUCUCGGAAAGCCGGUCUCAGUUCGGAUUGGGGUCUGCAACUCGACCUCAUGAAGUCGGAGUCGCUAGUAAUCGCAGAUCAGCAACGCUGCGGUGAAUACGUUCCCGGGGCU
RNAcentral lists this ribosomal RNA (1346 nucleotides) under uncultured bacterium. RNAcentral describes it as "partial 16S ribosomal RNA". It matches the Rfam family "Bacterial small subunit ribosomal RNA", at positions 28 to 1381 of the family's 1533-position model. The record is from RNAcentral.